RNAcentral lists this ribosomal RNA (552 nucleotides) under Amphinema byssoides. RNAcentral describes it as "LSU rRNA". It matches the Rfam family "Eukaryotic large subunit ribosomal RNA", at positions 47 to 626 of the family's 3401-position model. The record is from RNAcentral. Lineage: Eukaryota; Fungi; Basidiomycota; Agaricomycetes; Atheliales; Atheliaceae.
UAAGCGGCGGAAAAGAAACUAACAAGGAUUCCCCUAGUAACUGCGAGUGAAGCGGGAAGAGCUCAAAUUUAAAAUCUGGCGUCUUCGGCGUCCGAGUUGUAAUUUAGAGAAGCGUUUUCCGCGCUGGACCGUGUACAAGUCUCCUGGAACGGAGCGUCAUAGAGGGUGAGAAUCCCGUCUUUGACACGGACCCCCAGUGCUCUGUGAUACGCUCUCGAAGAGUCGAGUUGUUUGGGAAUGCAGCUCAAAAUGGGUGGUGAACUCCAUCUAAAGCUAAAUAUUGGCGAGAGACCGAUAGCGAACAAGUACCGUGAGGGAAAGAUGAAAAGCACUUUGGAAAGAGAGUGAAACAGUACGUGAAAUUGUUGAAAGGGAAACGCUUGAAGUCAGUCGCGUUUGCCGGGAUUCAGCCGCAAGGUGUACUUCCCGGUGGACGGGCCAGCAUCACUUUCGGUCAUCGGAAAAGGGCGAGGGGAAUGUGGCACCUCCGGGUGUGUUAUAGCCUCUUGUCGUAUACGGUGAUCGGGAGUGAGGACCGCCUUUGUAGGAUGC